GACGAACGCUGGCGGCGUGCUUAACACAUGCAAGUCGAACGGAAAGGCCCUGCUUUUGUGGGGUGCUCGAGUGGCGAACGGGUGAGUAUCACGUGUGUAACCUGCCCUUGACUUUGGGAUAACUUCAGGAAACAGCGGCUAAUAUAGGAUAGGAGCUCCUGCUGCAUGGUGGGGGUUGGAAAGUUUCGGCGGUUGGGGAUGGACUCGAGGCUUAUCCGCUUGUUGGUGAGGUAGUGGCUUACCAAGGCUUUGACGGGUAGGCGGCCUGAGAGGUUGACCGGCCACAUUGGGACUGAGGUACGGCCCAGACGCCUACGGUAGGCAGCAGGGGGGAAUAUUGCACAAUGGGCGGAAGCCUGAUGCAGCAACGCCGCGUGCGUGAUGACGUCCUUCUAGUUGUAAACCACUUUCGCCGUUGACGAAGCGGGAGUGACGGUAAUGAGUAAAGAAGCACCGGCUAACUACGUG
This 468-nucleotide ribosomal RNA is filed under the name uncultured bacterium. RNAcentral describes it as "partial 16S ribosomal RNA". It matches the Rfam family "Bacterial small subunit ribosomal RNA", at positions 28 to 507 of the family's 1533-position model. The record is from RNAcentral.